This is a long non-coding RNA of Carassius gibelio (silver crucian carp), 910 nucleotides long. RefSeq lists it as uncharacterized. The transcript is spliced from 5 exons. The record is from RefSeq and is a predicted model, not a curated record. Lineage: Eukaryota; Metazoa; Chordata; Actinopteri; Cypriniformes; Cyprinidae.
CAAAUAUUUAAGUAUUUCUAUUAAAAAAAGAAUUUAUUCUUAUGAUUGUUAUUGUGUAUAUUGUGUUUAAAUAUUUAAAUAUGACUUUGUUUACAGACAAAACCCUGUGUGUGCUUCCACCCGGAAGUUGCAAAACAUAAGCCAAUGUGAUUUCAGUGUGAUUUCUUAAUGGUUCUGUGCAGUCUGUGAGUGCAGCCGUAUGAGGUUAAACUACGCUGAAAGCUGCUCUGAGGUGCUUCUGGAGUUUGUUCCUGUGCUAAAGUUCCAUCCAUCAUCAUACGGCACACUGCACAGUCAGAGACAGAGUAUGAGUUGGGAGGAUUUGUUGUCUAGGGCUUUCUGGAGUGUGACAGUGCUGUCGGUACCGGGGUGACAGACUUCUGAUCCAGGACCGAUGAUGAUCGUCGACCGACUGGAAAUUGGACACAUCAAUCCUUCUCAAACGGAUGAGUGUUCCUCUUUGACUCUGGUCCAUCUGACAUACAGCUUCCUGAGGAGCCAAGUGAAAAAAUCACAUUCAGAAUGGAUUUAUAGCGCUGUCGUCGUGUCCCUCUUCUAUUCCGGGCUGAAUGGAGAAGCAGGUAUCCUAGUUACAACAUGACUGAGCUAACUGGAGAGCCAUCCAAAAUCAUUUGGUGACACUGGCAAGCACGGUGAUACUGCUGGAGACGGAUGUCACUCUCUUCUGCAACAUGUAAAAAUUAGAGUGGAGAAAAAAAAUAGGAAUAAAGCUCUUGCUCAAUGCUGCAGAGAAAGAAGACCGCGCACUGGAAUGGCAGGAGAGGCCAGAGGCAAGAGGUCCUGUUGACCAAUACGGGUAUGUCAGGUGGGGCCCAGCAGAUUUGCAAGAGGGGGAGACCGAGGCAACAUUGGAGAAUAUAAAGAGGGAUCUGCUGAACAUCUACUCAGG